Molecule: ribosomal RNA, 253 nt
Filed under: uncultured bacterium
Lineage: Bacteria
Description: partial 16S ribosomal RNA
Rfam family: Bacterial small subunit ribosomal RNA
Source: RNAcentral
UACGUAGGGUGCAGGCGUUAAUCGGAAUUACUGGGCGUAAAGCGUGCGCAGGCGGUUUUGUAAGCCAGAUGUGAAAGCCCCGGGCUUAACCUGGGAAUGGCAUUUGGGACUGCAAGGCUUGAGUGCGGCAGAGGAGACUGGAAUUCCUGGUGUAGCAGUGAAAUGCGUAGAUAUCAGGAGGAAUACCGAUGGCGAAGGCAGGUCUCUGGGCUGACACUGACGCUCAUGCACGAAAGCGUGGGGAGCAAACAGG